AUUGAACGCUGGCGGCAGACUUAACACAUGCAAGUCGAGCGGGGUGAUGGUGCUUGCACUAUCACUUAGCGGCGGACGGGUGAGUAAUGCUUAGGAAUCUGCCUAUUAGUGGGGGACAACAUCUCGAAAGGGAUGCUAAUACCGCAUACGUCCUACGGGAGAAAGCAGGGGAUCACUUGUGACCUUGCGCUAAUAGAUGAGCCUAAGUCGGAUUAGCUAGUUGGUGGGGUAAAGGCCUACCAAGGCGACGAUCUGUAGCGGGUCUGAGAGGAUGAUCCGCCACACAGGGAGUGAGACACGGCCCAGACUCCUACGGGAGGCAGCAGUGGGGAAUAUUGGACAAUGGGGGGAACCCUGAUCCAGCCAUGCCGCGUGUGUGAAGAAGGCCUUAUGGUUGUAAAGCACUUUAAGCGAGGAGGAGGCUCUUUUGGUUAAUACCCAAGAUGAGUGGACGUUACUCGCAGAAUAAGCACCGGCUAACUCUGUGCCAGCCGCCGCAGUAA
RNAcentral lists this ribosomal RNA (503 nucleotides) under uncultured bacterium. RNAcentral describes it as "partial 16S ribosomal RNA". It matches the Rfam family "Bacterial small subunit ribosomal RNA", at positions 30 to 523 of the family's 1533-position model. The record is from RNAcentral.